This 253-nucleotide ribosomal RNA is filed under the name uncultured bacterium. RNAcentral's name for it is "partial 16S ribosomal RNA". It matches the Rfam family "Bacterial small subunit ribosomal RNA", at positions 524 to 776 of the family's 1533-position model. The record is from RNAcentral.
UACGAAGGGUGCAAGCGUUGCUCGGAAUUAUUGGGCGUAAAGGGUAGGUAGGUGGUGAUAUUUGUCUGGGGUGAAAUCCCUGAGCUUAACUCAGGACGUGCCUUGGAAACGGUAUCACUAGAGUACUGGAGAGGUUCGUAGAAUUCCUGGUGUAGCGGUGAAAUGCGUAGAGAUCAGGAGGAAUAUCAGAGGCGAAGGCGACGAACUGGACAGUGACUGACACUCAACUACGAAAGCGUGGGGAGCAAACAGG